This 608-nucleotide ribosomal RNA is filed under the name uncultured bacterium. Its description in RNAcentral is "bacterial SSU rRNA". The stretch from base 1 to 517 matches the Rfam family "Bacterial small subunit ribosomal RNA", at positions 338 to 873 of the family's 1533-position model. The record is from RNAcentral.
CCUACGGGAGGCAGCAGUGGGGAAUCUUGCGCAAUGGGCGAAAGCCUGACGCAGCCAUGCCGCGUGAAUGAUGAAGGUCUUAGGAUUGUAAAAUUCUUUCACCGGGGACGAUAAUGACGGUACCCGGAGAAGAAGCCCCGGCUAACUUCGUGCCAGCAGCCGCGGUAAUACGAAGGGGGCUAGCGUUGCUCGGAAUUACUGGGCGUAAAGGGAGCGUAGGCGGAUAGUUUAGUCAGAGGUGAAAGCCCAGGGCUCAACCUUGGAAUUGCCUUUGAUACUGGCUAUCUUGAGUGUGGGAGAGGUAUGUGGAACUCCGAGUGUAGAGGUGAAAUUCGUAGAUAUUCGGAAGAACACCAGUGGCGAAGGCGACAUACUGGCCCAUUACUGACGCUGAGGCUCGAAAGCGUGGGGAGCAAACAGGAUUAGAUACCCUGGUAGUCCACGCUGUAAACGAUGAGUGCUAGUUGUCGGCAUGCAUGCAUGUCGGUGACGCAGCUACGACAUAAGACACUCCGCCGUCGGGAGGUACGGUCGCGAGAAGUUAAACUAACAAUAGUAAGUUAGUACGGCGUGAGACGUAGACCGACGGACGACGACGAGGGAGGAGG